GGGCGUAAGCGUACGUAGGCGGCGUGUUAAGCAAGAUGUGAAAGCCCCGGGCUCAACCUGGGAAUUGCAUUUUGAACUGGCAUGCUAGAGUCCUGAAGAGGGUGGUAGAAUUUCCAGUGUAGCGGUGAAAUGCGUAGAUAUUGGAAGGAAUACCGGUGGCGAAGGCGGCCACCUGGUCAGAGACUGACGCUGAGGUACGAAAGCGUGGGGAGCAAACAGGAUUAGAUACCCUGGUAGUCCACGCCGUAAACGAUGUCAACUAGUUGUUCGUGUCAUUAAGACGUGAGUAACGCAGCUAACGCACUAAGUUGACCGCCUGGGGAGUACGGCCGCAAGGUUAAAACUCAAAUGAAUUGACGGGGGCCCGCACAAGCGGUGGAGCAUGUGGUUUAAUUCGAUGCAACGCGAAGAACCUUACCAUCCCUUGACAUCCAGUGAAUUUU
This 443-nucleotide ribosomal RNA is filed under the name Idiomarina sp. Its description in RNAcentral is "bacterial SSU rRNA". It matches the Rfam family "Bacterial small subunit ribosomal RNA", at positions 556 to 999 of the family's 1533-position model. The record is from RNAcentral. Lineage: Bacteria; Pseudomonadati; Pseudomonadota; Gammaproteobacteria; Alteromonadales; Idiomarinaceae.